RNAcentral lists this ribosomal RNA (729 nucleotides) under bacterium 42-L049642-122-014-B06. RNAcentral's name for it is "bacterial SSU rRNA". It matches the Rfam family "Bacterial small subunit ribosomal RNA", at positions 56 to 804 of the family's 1533-position model. The record is from RNAcentral.
UGCAGUCGAGCGGUAAGGCCUUUCGGGGUACACGAGCGGCGAACGGGUGAGUAACACGUGGGUGAUCUGCCCUGCACUCUGGGAUAAGCUUGGGAAACUGGGUCUAAUACCGGAUAUGACCACAGCAUGCAUGUGUUGUGGUGGAAAGAUUUAUCGGUGCAGGAUGGGCCCGCGGCCUAUCAGCUUGUUGGUGGGGUAAUGGCCUACCAAGGCGACGACGGGUAGCCGACCUGAGAGGGUGACCGGCCACACUGGGACUGAGACACGGCCCAGACUCCUACGGGAGGCAGCAGUGGGGAAUAUUGCACAAUGGGCGGAAGCCUGAUGCAGCGACGCCGCGUGAGGGAUGAAGGCCUUCGGGUUGUAAACCUCUUUCAGCAGGGACGAAGCGUGAGUGACGGUACCUGCAGAAGAAGCACCGGCUAACUACGUGCCAGCAGCCGCGGUAAUACGUAGGGUGCGAGCGUUGUCCGGAAUUACUGGGCGUAAAGAGUUCGUAGGCGGUUUGUCGCGUCGUUUGUGAAAACCCGGGGCUCAACUUCGGGCUUGCAGGCGAUACGGGCAGACUUGAGUGUUUCANGGGAGACUGGAAUUCCUGGUGUAGCGGUGAAAUGCGCAGAUAUCANGAGGAACACCGGUGGCGAAGGCGGGUCUCUGGGAAACACUGACGCUGAGGAACGAAAGCGUGGGUAGCAAACAGGAUUAGAUACCCUGGUAGUCCACGCCGUA